CUGGAUAAGGCAGAAGGCGUUGAUAUUUUAAGCAUAAUUUUUGGAAAAAUUUCAAAUCUUGUUACAAUUUGCUUAAAAAUUUAUGGUCAAAAUAAGGAAAACUGUGCAGCCAUAAUUUUCAGGACAUUCCUAAAUAUCCUAAUUGAUCGUUUAUCCAUUUUUAUAUAUUUUCAGUUUCGGUAGAGGCAAUAACACAAUAAGAAACACUGUAUUUCUUAUUUCCUUGUACCAAAAACCGUCAAUGCUGUAGGCAAAGAACACUAAACUAGUGUGUUGAAUUUAUCAUGAAAUUCUUCUCAUAAAACAUGAUGAAAUUGGAAUUCCGAUACAACUUCGACAACUUUCAGUACGUACAUUCAGUACAUCAGGGAGAAUUCUCUAGAUGCCCCCCUUGGAUCCGACCCCGCAGAUUUUCAUGUUAUAAAUCAAAUAUAUUUAAGUUCUGAAUUGGUUGUGGGACUCACUACCAGAAGUUUUGGUUCCGAAAUUUCGAAAUUACUUUAAAAAAUUAUAUCAAAAUGAUUUAGGAGAUAAAUAUAGAAAAAACACAAUUUCUUUAUCUUAGGAGGAGAUGAUAGAAAUAAUAUAACAUGAGGCAAGGGGCAAGUAACGUGAUUUCCGGAAGUUGAAGCGCAGGCGCAAAUGUCGUCGUUGUUGCUGUCGAAUUGAUUGUUGUUGCUGCUGCUGUUGCUGUUGUUGCUGCUGCCAAGAAGAAGCUAAGCCUGAAGAAAGUCGUGCCACAACAGCUGCAAACAGCAACGGCAACGGCAACGGCAGCCCAUGCCCAAAAAAACCAGCCAACCAGCCAACCAGCCAACCAGCCAUCCUGCUGUCUUCGUGCGAAUAAUGUCAUUUGUGUUUGUUUUAUAACCAAAAUAAAACCCACACAAAAAAAAGGGAACAACCUCAACAACAACAGCAACAAGAGAUUAUCACUAACUUGCCAACUGGCAUAAGACAAUAAAGAAAGAUAAACACAAAAAUCAAAUAGAAAUUAACAUGCCAUUAACAUUCAAAUCGUUACAGGUCAAUCCAUGCCAAAGGCCACCAAAUGAUGGGAAUUUCAACUAGGUCUACAUAUAUAAAAUGAGUUCUCUAACCAAAUAAUAGAGUAUCCUAAUGUUGGCAACUUGUACCAAAAAGUACGAGCACUAGGAAUUUUCUCAGUUGUCUUUAGCUGUCAGUUGUCCGCCAACUGUGUGUCAAAUUGCCUUCAACAGUUGAGCCAAUCCACAACACCGAAGGGACCACCACAAACUUCAAGGAAAUUAACUAAACCACGAACCAACAACCAAAAAAUAAAAAAAAAGAAAUUAAAUAUAAAA
Long non-coding RNA from Drosophila willistoni, 1325 nucleotides. RefSeq lists it as uncharacterized. The transcript is spliced from 3 exons. The record is from RefSeq and is a predicted model, not a curated record. NCBI's taxonomy places the organism in Eukaryota, Metazoa, Arthropoda, Insecta, Diptera, Drosophilidae.